This is a non-coding RNA of Gelidibacter algens, 121 nucleotides long. NCBI's taxonomy places the organism in Bacteria, Pseudomonadati, Bacteroidota, Flavobacteriia, Flavobacteriales, Flavobacteriaceae. The record is from Rfam.
AUAUUUGACAAAACAAAAACAUGUACACAAUUUUAAAUCAUACUUGGUGGUGGAACUUUUCGAAACAACAUUCGUGAGGUAACGCUAUAGUAUAUUUAAUUUAAUAUAAAAAAGGCUUGUC